UUCAAAUUUUAUAAAUCAAUUCUUGCAACUCCUAAAAGCUAAAAACUGUUUAAUUUAAGUUAACAAAGCUUGAACAUUUUACUUAUAAAGUGAUCAAAAUUAUUCUAAUUAUUACAGGCAAAUGACGAAAAAUAUGCCUCAAAUUCUCAUGUUUGUGUAUGCUUUGAUCAUCCUUCUCUCACUCAUUCUUGUUGCAACUUACAACAUUGACGUGCCUUGCAAAACUGACGAGGAUUGUCCAGAGGCAUCUCCUCCAAGAAUUGUAAAGUGCAUUAAUAGUAUUUGUGAUGAUAUAUCGGGGAUACCAUUUUAAUUAGGUUUAAAAUUAAUUAUGUUAUCCUUAAGCAAAUAAUUUUAUUUGUAUAUCAUAAUGUUUGUACUUUAAUAAUUUUCUUCAAAAUUCUUGUAAGAAAAAAACUUAAAAAUUUA
Molecule: long non-coding RNA, 429 nt
Organism: Trifolium pratense (red clover)
Lineage: Eukaryota; Viridiplantae; Streptophyta; Magnoliopsida; Fabales; Fabaceae
Exons: 2
Source: RefSeq, a predicted model, not a curated record